Molecule: ribosomal RNA, 528 nt
Filed under: uncultured bacterium
Lineage: Bacteria
Description: bacterial SSU rRNA
Rfam family: Bacterial small subunit ribosomal RNA
Source: RNAcentral
AAUAGAUACCCUGGUAGUCCACGCCGUAAACGAUGAGUGCUAGGUGUUGGGGGGUCCACCCCUCGGUGCCGAAGUUAACACAUUAAGCACUCCGCCUGGGGAGUACGGUCGCAAGACUGAAACUCAAAGGAAUUGACGGGGACCCGCACAAGCAGUGGAGUAUGUGGUUUAAUUCGAAGCAACGCGAAGAACCUUACCAGGUCUUGACAUCCCUCUGAAUCCUCUAGAGAUAGAGGCGGCCUUCGGGACAGAGGAGACAGGUGGUGCAUGGUUGUCGUCAGCUCGUGUCGUGAGAUGUUGGGUUAAGUCCCGCAACGAGCGCAACCCUUGAAUUUAGUUGCCAGCACUUUAAGGUGGGCACUCUAGAUUGACUGCCGGUGACAAACCGGAGGAAGGCGGGGAUGACGUCAAAUCAUCAUGCCCCUUAUGACCUGGGCUACACACGUACUACAAUGGCCGGUACAACGGGCAGCGAAGGAGCGAUCCGGAGCCAAUCCUACCAAAGCCGGUCUCAGUUCGGAUUGCAGG